UCAUUUUCCUCUCCAAUAAAAUGGUCCAACAGGCAAUUGGCAUUUAGAGAAUUGGAUUGAUUGUGAUUGGAUGGAAAGGCUCUGUUAACCAUGCAGAAGAAACUGAAGAUGAAAUACAAUCCUGAUGUAGCUGAGGCUGUUGCAAUGUUAGAGAGUCUGAAGAUGUGCCUAUCGGUGGAUUGGAGGAAGAUGGUUUUGGAGAGAGAUUCUCUAACGUUAAUCUCACACUUGAAGAAAAAUACGACGAGCCUUCUGACCUUUCAUCAAAUUCUUGGUGACAUUCGAUUGCUAUUACCUAGUUUUGAUUAUAUUUUCUUUUUCUCAUGCUAAGAGGCAUGUUAAUAUCAUGGCUCACAACUUAGCACAAUUAGACGUUGAUUUAAGCUUAGACGUUUUCUCAUGUUCCUGCUGAUGGUUGAAUCUUUUUAUUGCAC
Molecule: long non-coding RNA, 434 nt
Filed under: Ricinus communis (castor bean)
Lineage: Eukaryota; Viridiplantae; Streptophyta; Magnoliopsida; Malpighiales; Euphorbiaceae
Description: long non-coding RNA (RCOM_LNC003282)
Source: RNAcentral